CAGACGACUUCCUGUUUCCUGUCUGUGCGGAGGACUUCCUGCCAGUGUUGGAGAGUCCGCUGGGUCUGGUGGGGGAGGAGGCAGCCAACGUCCCGUCUCAACGCAUGCCGCUCGCCGACGUGUCGCUCAAACAUCCGCUCAUCCACAUCCAGAACUCGGUCCACAGUUUCCGUCGGCGCUCGACCCAGGAGUGCAGUCAGAGUGUGUUUCAUGUCGACGCUCCGCCGUGGAUUACCCCGAAAUCUUCCUCCAGCAUCACCUCAGUCCCUCCGUCUCUCAGGAGUCCCAGCGAGCCUACGGUCCCGCCCCCUAACCUCUCAUUGGCUGAGCCAGUAGGCCUGGCGUCCCCGGGGGAUGGCAGGAAGUCCCCCUCGCUGUUGGACAGCCUGAGCAGGAAGACGAAGACUCUCUCGUCCACCAUGACGGUGUCAGACCGGACGUCCCGUCUGCAGACGGAGAAACAGAUACUGAUGGA
RNAcentral lists this long non-coding RNA (475 nucleotides) under Sander lucioperca (pikeperch). RNAcentral's name for it is "lncRNA (ENSSLUG00000022043.1)". The record is from RNAcentral. Lineage: Eukaryota; Metazoa; Chordata; Actinopteri; Perciformes; Percidae.